UCUUCUUCACAUGGCUGCUUCCUUGUAUGAUCAUGCUUGAAUUUCUUUGAUGGUAUGCUUGUUUUUGUUGGUUUGCAUCUCUUGUUUUGUUGCUUUUCCCAGUUCUUUUGAAGUUCCUGUACAUGAUAUUGUCCUCCAAAUUCUAGGUAGCUUUCAGCUUCACAAUAAGACAAUUUUAAAAUGGCCUGACUGAGAAGUGUAAGAGCUUCAGGGAAGAUAACUUUGGUAAUGAAGUCUAUUCCAGAAGAUGGAAACCAUCCAAGAAGUUUACUUACAAUAAGGUUUGGAGCACUCUUGCUGAAACCUGAUUUGAAAACUUCACAAGGCCAGCAUUUUUCUUCGCAUUCUAAUUUGUUUAUUAAAUCAUUCUUAAUGCAUGAAAGGUGUAA
Xenia sp. Carnegie-2017 is the source of this 389-nucleotide long non-coding RNA. RefSeq lists it as uncharacterized. The record is from RefSeq and is a predicted model, not a curated record. NCBI's taxonomy places the organism in Eukaryota, Metazoa, Cnidaria, Anthozoa, Malacalcyonacea, Xeniidae. The transcript is spliced from 2 exons.